AGUGGCGCACGGGGCGUAACACGUAUGCAACCUACCUUACAUUGGGGGAUAGCCUUUCGAAAGGGAGAUUAAUACCGCAUAAGACAGUAACUGGGCAUCCAGUAGUUGUUAAAGAUUUAUCGAUGUAAGAUGGGCAUGCGACCAAUUAGUUAGUUGGCGAGGUAACGGCUCACCAAGACUAUGAUUGGUAGGGGAACUGAGAGGUCAAUCCCCCACACUGGCACUGAGAUACGGGCCAGACUCCUACGGGAGGCAGCAGUAGGGAAUAUUGGGCAAUG
RNAcentral lists this ribosomal RNA (278 nucleotides) under uncultured eubacterium 4-36. RNAcentral describes it as "partial 16S ribosomal RNA". It matches the Rfam family "Bacterial small subunit ribosomal RNA", at positions 94 to 373 of the family's 1533-position model. Lineage: Bacteria; Pseudomonadati; Bacteroidota; Flavobacteriia. The record is from RNAcentral.